UAACCAGACUCCUACGGGAGGCAGCAGUGGGGAAUAUUGGGCAAUGGGCGCAAGCCUGACCCAGCAAUGCCGCGUGAAGGAAGAAGGCUUUCGGGUUGUAAACUUCUUUGACAGGGGAAGAGCAGAAGACGGUACCCUGAAAACAAGCCACGGCUAACUACGUGCCAGCAGCCGCGGUAAUACGUAGGUGGCAAGCGUUGUCCGGAUUUACUGGGUGUAAAGGGCGUGUAGGCGGGGACGCAAGUCAGAUGUGAAAACCACGGGCUCAACCUGUGGCCUGCAUUUGAAACUGUGUUUCUUGAGUACUGGAGAGGCAGACGGAAUUCCUAGUGUAGCGGUGAAAUGCGUAGAUAUUAGGAGGAACACCAGUGGCGAAGGCGGCUUACUGGACUGUAAAUGACGCUGAGGCUCGAAAGCGUGGGGAGCAAACAGGAUUAGAUACCCGAGUAA
Molecule: ribosomal RNA, 450 nt
Filed under: uncultured bacterium
Lineage: Bacteria
Description: bacterial SSU rRNA
Rfam family: Bacterial small subunit ribosomal RNA
Source: RNAcentral